This 525-nucleotide long non-coding RNA is filed under the name Arabidopsis lyrata. RNAcentral describes it as "long non-coding RNA (ALYR_LNC002253)". Lineage: Eukaryota; Viridiplantae; Streptophyta; Magnoliopsida; Brassicales; Brassicaceae. The record is from RNAcentral.
CUCUGUUAAUCCUAGCCGCUGCUUGUUUCGUCUCGCUAAUCUCACCGGCGAUUUCACAACAGACUUGCUCUACGCAGAACCUAAACUCCGCUGGUCCGUACGAUAGUUGCCUGGACCUUCCCGUACUCAAUUCCUACCUCCAUUACACAUACGAUUCCUCAAACUCGUCUCUCUCGGUUGCUUUCGUCGCCACUCCAUCUCAAACCAACAAUGGCUGGGUCGCUUGGGCUAUCAAUCCUACGGGGACUAAGAUGGCCGGUUCUCAGGCCUUCCUCGCUUACAGAUCUAACGGCGGUGCUGCUCCCGUCGUCAAGACGUACAACAUAAGCGGCUACAGUCUCGACGAAACCGCUACGAGACUUUCUUUCGAGUUCUGGAAUCUACGCGCCGAGUCGUUGAGCGGCGGCAGGAUCGCGAUUUUCACCACGGUUAAGGUCCCGGCGGGAGCCGAUAGUGUGAAUCAGGUGUGGCAGAUCGGCGGGAAUGUGACCAGCGGUCGUCCCGGAAUACAUCCGUUCACUCCUG